This 498-nucleotide ribosomal RNA is filed under the name uncultured bacterium. RNAcentral describes it as "bacterial SSU rRNA". It matches the Rfam family "Bacterial small subunit ribosomal RNA", at positions 30 to 523 of the family's 1533-position model. The record is from RNAcentral.
AUUGAACGCUGGCGGAAUGCUUUACACAUGCAAGUCGAACGGCAGCACGGGGCAACCUGGUGGCGAGUGGCGAACGGGUGAGUAAUACAUCGGAACGUGCCCAAUCGUGGGGGAUAACGUAGCGAAAGUUACGCUAAUACCGCAUACGAUCUACGGAUGAAAGGGGGGGAUCGCAAGACCUCUCGCUAUUGGAGCGGCCGAUGUCAGAUUAGCUAGUUGGUGGGGUAAAGGCCUACCAAGGCAACGAUCUGUAGUUGGUCUGAGAGGACGACCAGCCACACUGGGACUGAGACACGGCCCAGACUCCUACGGGAGGCAGCAGUGGGGAAUUUUGGACAAUGGGCGCAAGCCUGAUCCAGCAAUGCCGCGUGCAGGAAGAAGGCCUUCGGUUGUAAACUGCUUUGUUCAGGGAAGGAAAUACUUCUGGGUUAAUACUCGGAGGAGUGACGGUACCUGAAGAAUAAGCACCGGCUAACUACGUGCCAGCAGCCGCGGAAU